GUGAGUAGUUCAGAGUUUGAUCCUGGCUCAGGAUGAACGCUGGCGGCGUGCUUAACACAUGCAAGUCGAACGAAGCGAUUUAACGGAAGUUUUCGGAUGGAAGUUAAAUUGACUGAGUGGCGGACGGGUGAGUAACGCGUGGGUAACCUGCCUCAUACAGGGGGAUAACAGUUAGAAAUGACUGCUAAUACCGCAUAAGCGCACGGAAUCGCAUGAUACUGUGUGAAAAAACUCCGGUGGUAUGAGAUGGACCCGCGUCUGAUUAGCUAGUUGGUGGGGUAACGGCCUACCAAGGCGACGAUCAGUAGCCGACCUGAGAGGGUGACCGGCCACAUUGGGACUGAGACACGGCCCAA
This 356-nucleotide ribosomal RNA is filed under the name uncultured bacterium. Its description in RNAcentral is "bacterial SSU rRNA". It matches the Rfam family "Bacterial small subunit ribosomal RNA", at positions 1 to 334 of the family's 1533-position model. The record is from RNAcentral.